AAAGUCGUAACAAGGUUUCCGUAGGUGAACCUGCGGAAGGAUCAUUACAUAGAAUCUAGGCCCUAAGCUGUAGGAAUACUGCCCAUGGGCUUCUUCUAUUACCCUUGGUUUUUGAGUACUUGUGUUUCCUUGGUGGGCUUGCCCGCCAAUAGGACAAACUAUUAAACCUUUUUAAUUUUCAAUCAGCGUCUGAACAAAUGUAAUAAUUACAACUUUCAACAACGGAUCUCUUGGUUCUG
RNAcentral lists this unclassified non-coding RNA (239 nucleotides) under Ascomycota sp. RNAcentral describes it as "partial contains small subunit ribosomal RNA, internal transcribed spacer 1, and 5.8S ribosomal RNA". The stretch from base 1 to 47 matches the Rfam family "Eukaryotic small subunit ribosomal RNA", at positions 1785 to 1831 of the family's 1831-position model. Lineage: Eukaryota; Fungi; Ascomycota. The record is from RNAcentral.